This 616-nucleotide non-coding RNA is filed under the name Stegodyphus mimosarum. Its description in RNAcentral is "Eukaryotic small subunit ribosomal RNA". It matches the Rfam family "Eukaryotic small subunit ribosomal RNA", at positions 67 to 602 of the family's 1831-position model. Lineage: Eukaryota; Metazoa; Arthropoda; Arachnida; Araneae; Eresidae. The record is from Rfam by way of RNAcentral.
AUUUUUUACAUUCACAGAAACCAAGAUGUUGCACAAAUGUCUCUUUAUUUAAAAAAAAUAAAUAAAAUGGAAUAAAUUAGAUUGGAAAUGCUGUUGAAAAUAUAUAAAAAAGAUAGCUAAAGAUCUGACUAUUAUACACUAAGGAAACACUAUAUAUUUUUCCUUAAUACAAAAAUUAAAAGCAAACUGAAUAAUUAGCUAAAUGUACAAAAGCAGAGCGCCCGAAUUUGAAAUUUAGAACACUGAUUUAGGCGACACUAAUACUGAUAAACGAUAGUACACUGAUAAAAGCGACGUAUAUUUCAACUGUCUGUCUGAUCAACUGUCGAAGUUGGUUACGCGCCUACCACUACUAUCGUAACGGGUAACUGGAAAUCAGGUAUCCAGACAAGUUCCAGACAGGGAGCCUGAGAAAGAGCUAGCACAUCCGAGGAAAGUAGGUACGCCCGCAAAUUACCCGCUUCCAGAAUGGGGAGACAGUGACGAAAAAUAACAAUGCGGUAUUCUUUUGAGGUCCCUUAACUGGAAGUAGAACACUCUAAAUCCUUUGAAUAGGAUUAGUUACUGAACAAAUCUGCUACCAGCAGCUGCGGUAUUUCCAGCUCCAACAGCGUAU